GCUUUCAUUCUUUUCUUCUUAAUUUCUUCUUCUAAUUUUCUUCCUAGUCACUUUAUUUAUCAUUUCUUAUAAUUUCUUGUUAUUCUUUCUUUGUUGACUCAUAGACCAGAUAUAGUAAUCACUGAUGGAUCAAACCUCAACUUUGAAUGAACCCAAUAAAAUCUCUCUCCCUCUCUCUUUCUCUCUCUUCUCUAUUGAUUGACCCAAAUCAAAGCC
Molecule: long non-coding RNA, 216 nt
Filed under: Elaeis guineensis (African oil palm)
Lineage: Eukaryota; Viridiplantae; Streptophyta; Magnoliopsida; Arecales; Arecaceae
Description: long non-coding RNA (EGUI_LNC009352)
Source: RNAcentral